RNAcentral lists this long non-coding RNA (718 nucleotides) under Rosa chinensis. Its description in RNAcentral is "sRNA RchiOBHm_Chr2g0153181". Lineage: Eukaryota; Viridiplantae; Streptophyta; Magnoliopsida; Rosales; Rosaceae. The record is from RNAcentral.
GCUCUCAAGCUAGGGGCUUGUGUGGACGUGCUUGGUGGGCUGAUUCACGUUGGGAUAGGGGAAAGUGCUAAAGACGCUUGCUGUCCUGUGCUUCAAGGACUGCUGGACUUGGACGCCGCCAUUUGCCUCUGCACCACCAUCAGGCUUAAGCUCCUUAACAUCAACAUUAUCAUACCCCUUGCUCUUCAGGUCCUCAUCGACUGUGGGAAGACACCGCCCGAUGGAUUCAAGUGUCCUUCAUAAGCUCUCUGAGUCACUCUGACGUCGUUCGAGGUUUUCAAAUAUUGAUUAAUAAUAGAGUUUCAGUAAUAUUUGGCAUGUAAUAAUAGCGUGUGUUUGUGCUUAUGAAAGCUUUGGAAGUAAAACUACUUCAUGAGAUCGAUAUACUGUGGCAAAACCGCAAAAGUGUUCAUGUUGAUUUGUUAUAAUCAGAAUAUGUUGUUCUAUUUUGGGACUGCGUGUUAAUAAUUGAGGUUAGAGAAGAACUGUAUGAUUUGCGUAUAUGUCGUCACUGUCCUAAUGGACCCUCAGCUCUCUCAAAACCCUAGAGCUUCACGUGAGUGUACUACUUUCUUUGAGUGUUAUUUUGACUGCAUUCGUUUGUAAAGUUAUCGAUAUCCAUUGGGAAUAAAAUAUCAACAUCACAGCACCAUGUACCUACGUACGUAUGUCUACCUUUCAUUGUGAAUUUCGUUCGUACAGUAUUGUUUCAUUACGU